UAGCUUAAUGUGAUAUAUGCAUGC
RNAcentral lists this non-coding RNA (24 nucleotides) under Arabidopsis thaliana (thale cress). Lineage: Eukaryota; Viridiplantae; Streptophyta; Magnoliopsida; Brassicales; Brassicaceae. The record is from RNAcentral.